RNAcentral lists this long non-coding RNA (349 nucleotides) under Gallus gallus (chicken). Lineage: Eukaryota; Metazoa; Chordata; Aves; Galliformes; Phasianidae. The record is from RNAcentral.
GAAAGUCAGCGCGGCCGUUGUUGUGGAUCUGGGAGGAGAAGCGGAGCAGACGGCGGUGCCCGUAAGGCCAGUUGGCGUGGCGGGCUGAGCUGGACAGACAAUUCUCCUCGGCGGCGCAGUACAGCAUGUGCAGCGGGCGGUCCUCGAUGUAUGCCGUCUCCUGCACCAGCGGGGCGUGCAGCAGCAGGUCAGAGGCAGUUUCAGAGCAGAUGACACCGGCAGCGAAGCGCGUUCCCGUGUUCCUGCAGUUCAGGCUGCUGCCGUGGUGCUGGCAGUGGCUCAGGGACAGCUCAUGGCCAGCGCACUUCACACCACUCAGCACCAUUUCUGUCACGUUGCUGGCAUCCCA